Molecule: long non-coding RNA, 112 nt
Filed under: Polistes fuscatus (common paper wasp)
Lineage: Eukaryota; Metazoa; Arthropoda; Insecta; Hymenoptera; Vespidae
Description: uncharacterized LOC122524248
Source: RNAcentral
AAACGGAACAAGAUAUCAAGAGGAAGUCGUCAUGGGCAAAACAAAGCGAUAAUAUGUUAAAAAGCUAGACGUAAUCACCCAAGCAUGGAGAAAUAGCGUCGGCUGACACAAA